GCCAUAUAUAGCUCUGUUUUCUAAAAAUGAUCGGGAAUUCCUCGUCUUGGUCCCGGCUGGAAGACAAGGCCUUUGAACGAGCACUUGUUGUCUUUCCCGAGGAAACUCCUUGCAGAUGGGAAAAGAUUGCCAGCCAAAUUCCAGGAAAGACAUGGAUUGAUGUGAAGAAACAUUACGAGGAUUUGGUUCAUGAUGUUGGGGAGAUUGACUCUGGUCGAGUCGAGUUGCCGAAUUAUGAGGAUGAGUUGGGGCUGGACUCUGCCGGUGGUUGGGGUUCUGCUACGGAGUCAGGGACGAGUCAGGUGUGGUUUGGGUCUACAGGGAAGGGGAAGGAGACGACCGAGAGGAGGAAGGGGAUCCCCUGGACAGAAGAAGAGCACAGGUUGUUUCUAAUAGGACUACAGAGAUAUGGGAAAGGAGACUGGAGAAGCAUCUCAAGAAAUGCAGUAGUAUCAAGAACACCAACUCAAGUGGCCAGCCAUGCCCAGAAGUAUUUUCUUCGCAUCAACUCAAUAAAGAAGGAUAAGAAGAGGCCUAGCAUUCAUGACGUUACCACUAAUGCCACCAAUCAUCCUAUUUCUGCUCAUGACUUGAUGGAUCCAAACCCCUUCUCUCAUCCUGAUAGCCCAUCUGCCUAUCAUGGCUUUGGAUUCCCC
This 656-nucleotide unclassified non-coding RNA is filed under the name Hevea brasiliensis (rubber tree). Lineage: Eukaryota; Viridiplantae; Streptophyta; Magnoliopsida; Malpighiales; Euphorbiaceae. The record is from RNAcentral.